Molecule: ribosomal RNA, 120 nt
Filed under: Peterkaempfera griseoplana
Lineage: Bacteria; Bacillati; Actinomycetota; Actinomycetes; Kitasatosporales; Streptomycetaceae
Description: Streptomyces griseoplanus partial 16S rRNA
Rfam family: Bacterial small subunit ribosomal RNA
Source: RNAcentral
GCUAAUACCGGAUAUGACGUGCCUUCGCAUGGGGGUGCGUGGAAAGCUCCGGCGGUGCAGGAUGAGCCCGCGGCCUAUCAGUUUGUUGGUGGGGUGAUGGCCUACCAAGGCGACGACGGG